This 72-nucleotide transfer RNA is filed under the name archaeon GW2011_AR20. Its description in RNAcentral is "tRNA-Glu". It matches the Rfam family "tRNA". From Rfam's summary of the family: Transfer RNA (tRNA) molecules are approximately 80 nucleotides in length. Their secondary structure includes four short double-helical elements and three loops (D, anti-codon, and T loops). Further hydrogen bonds mediate the characteristic L-shaped molecular structure. tRNAs have two regions of fundamental functional importance: the anti-codon, which is responsible for specific mRNA codon recognition, and the 3' end, to which the tRNAs corresponding amino acid is attached (by aminoacyl-tRNA synthetases). tRNAs cope with the degeneracy of the genetic code in two manners: having more than one tRNA (with a specific anti-codon) for a particular amino acid; and 'wobble' base-pairing, i.e. permitting non-standard base-pairing at the 3rd anti-codon position. The record is from RNAcentral. RNAcentral also lists the same sequence under 1 other name.
GCUCCUGUAGUCUAGUGGCAAGGACAUCGGCUUCUCGAGCCGAUAACCUGGGUUCAAAUCCCAGCAGGAGCA